CUUGCUACUUUGCUGACGAGCGGCGGACGGGUGAGUAAUGCUUGGGAACAUGCCUUGAGGUGGGGGACAACAGUUGGAAACGACUGCUAAUACCGCAUAAUGUCUACGGACCAAAGGGGGCUUCGGCUCUCGCCUUUAGAUUGGCCCAAGUGGGAUUAGCUAGUUGGUGAGGUAAUGGCUCACCAAGGCGACGAUCCCUAGCUGGUUUGAGAGGAUGAUCAGCCACACUGGGACUGAGACACGGCCCAGACUCCUACGGGAGGCAGCAGUGGGGAAUAUUGCACAAUGGGCGCAAGCCUGAUGCAGCCAUGCCGCGUGUGUGAAGAAGGCCUUCGGGUUGUAAAGCACUUUCAGUCAGGAGGAAAGGUUAGUGGUUAAUACCCGUUAGGUGUGACGUUACUGACAGAAGAAGCACCGGCUAACUCCGUGCCAGCAGCCGCGGUAAUACGGAGGGUGCGAGCGUUAAUCGGAAUUACUGGGCGUAAAGCGUACGCAGGCGGUUUGUUAAGCGAGAUGUGAAAGCCCCGGGCUCAACCUGGGAACUGCAUUUCGAACUGGCAAACUAGAGUGUGAUAGAGGGUGGUAGAAUUUCAGGUGUAGCGGUGAAAUGCGUAGAGAUCUGAAGGAAUACCGAUGGCGAAGGCAGCCACCUGGGUCAACACUGACGCUCAUGUACGAAAGCGUGGGGAGCAAACGGGAUUAGAUACCCCGGUAGUCCACGCCGUAAACGAUGUCUACUAGAAGCUCGGAGCCUCGGUUCUGUUUUUCAAAGCUAACGCAUUAAGUAGACCGCCUGGGGAGUACGGCCGCAAGGUUAAAACUCAAAUGAAUUGACGGGGGCCCGCACAAGCGGUGGAGCAUGUGGUUUAAUUCGAUGCAACGCGAAGAACCUUACCUACACUUGACAUACAGAGAACUUACCAGAGAUGGUUUGGUGCCUUCGGGAACUCUGAUACAGGUG
This 961-nucleotide ribosomal RNA is filed under the name Pseudoalteromonas sp. RNAcentral describes it as "bacterial SSU rRNA". It matches the Rfam family "Bacterial small subunit ribosomal RNA", at positions 75 to 1040 of the family's 1533-position model. The record is from RNAcentral. Lineage: Bacteria; Pseudomonadati; Pseudomonadota; Gammaproteobacteria; Alteromonadales; Pseudoalteromonadaceae.